AUUGAACGCUGGCGGCAUGCUUUACACAUGCAAGUCGAACGGUAACAGGCCGCAAGGUGCUGACGAGGGGCGGACGGGGGAGUAAGGCAGCGGAACGUGCCCAGACGUGGGGGAUAACUACGCGAAAGAGUAGCUAAUACCGCAUACGAUCUAUGGAUGAAAGCGGGGGACCGUAAGGCCUCGCGCGAUUGUGGCGGCCGAUGUCAGAUUAGGUAGUUGGUGGGGUAAAGGCUCACCAAGCCAACGAUCUGUAGCUGGUCUGAGAGGACGACCAGCCACACUGGGACUGAGACACGGCCCAGACUCCUACGGGAGGCAGCAGUGGGGAAUUUUGGACAAUGGGCGCAAGCCUGAUCCAGCAAUGCCGCGUGCAGGAAGAAGGCCUUCGGGUUGUAAAGUGCUUUUGUACGGAAAGAAACGGAUCUGGUUAAUACCCGGGGCUAAUGACGGUACCGUAAGAAUAAGCACCGGCUAACUACGUG
RNAcentral lists this ribosomal RNA (482 nucleotides) under uncultured bacterium. RNAcentral's name for it is "partial 16S ribosomal RNA". It matches the Rfam family "Bacterial small subunit ribosomal RNA", at positions 29 to 507 of the family's 1533-position model. The record is from RNAcentral.